GGCGGUGUAGCUCAGCAGGUUAGAGCAGCGGUUUCAUAAGCCGCGUGUCGGCGGUUCGAGUCCGCCCACCGCCACCA
This 77-nucleotide transfer RNA is filed under the name Myxococcota bacterium. RNAcentral's name for it is "tRNA-Met". It matches the Rfam family "tRNA". Rfam says of the family: Transfer RNA (tRNA) molecules are approximately 80 nucleotides in length. Their secondary structure includes four short double-helical elements and three loops (D, anti-codon, and T loops). The record is from RNAcentral. Lineage: Bacteria; Pseudomonadati; Myxococcota.